GCCCUGCUGGCGCAAUGGUAGCGCGUCAGACUUCUAAUCUGAAGGUUGCCGGUUCGAGCCCGGCGUAGGGUG
Non-coding RNA from Hypoxylon sp. CI-4A, 72 nucleotides. NCBI's taxonomy places the organism in Eukaryota, Fungi, Ascomycota, Sordariomycetes, Xylariales, Hypoxylaceae. The record is from the annotation of a GenBank genome assembly.